RNAcentral lists this unclassified non-coding RNA (365 nucleotides) under uncultured fungus. RNAcentral's name for it is "sequence contains ITS1". The stretch from base 1 to 106 matches the Rfam family "5.8S ribosomal RNA", at positions 50 to 154 of the family's 154-position model. Lineage: Eukaryota; Fungi. The record is from RNAcentral.
AAAGUGCGAUAAGUCAUGUGAAUUGCAGAUUGUGAAUCAUCGAAUCUUUGAACGCAAAUGGCGCUCGGAGGCCUUAGAUCCUCCGAGCAUGUCUGGCUGAGUGUCGGUUUCAUUGAUCUUUUCUACUUUUUUGUAGAAGGGGGGGAUUGGGAAUGCUCCACCUUCCAAGUGGGGACAGUCCUGAAGUGUCUUUGUAGCGCUCUUUCUCUCUUUAAGGAGGGUGAGGGGAAGGAAAAACGUGUGGUGUAUCACCGAUAUAACAACGCGUUUUUCUCUCUCUGCAAAGAGGGCGUGAAGUCAAUAACAAAUGUUAAAGAACCUAAAUGAUCGACAUCAGCUCAGGCAAGAUUACCCGCUGAACUUAA